AUUGGGGUAGUCUAAUUAGACAUUUGAUUUCGACUCAAAAGAACUUACCUAUAAGCCCCAAUA
This 63-nucleotide transfer RNA is filed under the name Macrovipera schweizeri. RNAcentral describes it as "tRNA-Arg". It matches the Rfam family "tRNA". From Rfam's summary of the family: Transfer RNA (tRNA) molecules are approximately 80 nucleotides in length. The record is from RNAcentral. Lineage: Eukaryota; Metazoa; Chordata; Lepidosauria; Squamata; Viperidae. RNAcentral also lists the same sequence under 1 other name.